Molecule: ribosomal RNA, 252 nt
Filed under: uncultured bacterium
Lineage: Bacteria
Description: partial 16S ribosomal RNA
Rfam family: Bacterial small subunit ribosomal RNA
Source: RNAcentral
UACGUAGGGAGCAAACGUUGUCCGGAAUUACUGGGUGUAAAGGGAGCGUAGGCGGGAUGGCAAGUUGGGUGUUAAAUCUACCGGCUCAACUGGUAGUCGCACUCAAAACUGCUAUUCUUGGGUGAAGUAGAGGCAGGCGGAAUUCCUAGUGUAGCGGUGAAAUGCGUAGAUAUUAGGAGGAACACCAGUGGCGAAGGCGGCCUGCUGGGCUUUUACUGACGCUGAGGCUCGAAAGUGUGGGGAGCAAACAGG